CUAAGUUUGAUGGCGACCGGCGCACGGGUGAGUAACACGUAUCCAACCUGCCGAUAACUCUGGAAUAGCCUUUCGAAAGAAAGAUUAAUACCGGAUAGUAUACGAAUAUCGCAUGAUAUUUUUAUUUAAAGAAUUUCGGUCAUCGAUGGGGAUGCGUUCCAUUAGGUUGUUGGCGGGGGUAACGGCCCACCAAGCCUUCGAUGGAUAGGGGUUCUGAGAGGAAGGUCCCCCACAUUGGAACUGAGACACGGUCCAAACUCCUACGGGAGGCAGCAUG
Molecule: ribosomal RNA, 277 nt
Filed under: uncultured bacterium
Lineage: Bacteria
Description: partial 16S ribosomal RNA
Rfam family: Bacterial small subunit ribosomal RNA
Source: RNAcentral